UAUAUUAUAUCUAGACUUGAGACCUAUUAAAUCUAGAUCUAGACGACUUAGACUUAACUUAAGUGAUUAACAUUCAUGCGUUAUGACUAGAUUUACUGAUUUACUAUUUAGAAUAGAUUCUAGAUCUAGAUUCUAGAAUCUACCAUGAAAUGGCUAAUGCAUCUGCAGCAUAGAAUUAGAUUUAGUUAAAAAAGGACUUACUAGAUCUUAAAUCUAAAUCUACUACCUUUUAACUUUUAGGGCAGAAUAUUAGAUCUAGUCUAUAUGCCUAUCUAAGUAUCUAGUCACGUAACUGUAAACUAAUACUUAGACUUAGGACUUUGGACACUUUGGUAUAUUAAUAUAAUAAUUAUUAUACUCAUAGUACUCAUACUCAUAUAUAGAUUUUAGUUCUAUUCUAAUUCAAAUAUUUUGAGGUUAGAAAAAAUUGACCUAGACUUAUAAGAUAUACUAAGACUUAGUAAACUUAGAUCUAGAUCUAAUAAAAGAUAGUCUAGAAUAGUCUAGAUUCUAAAAUCUAGUUGUUAUUAGAAAAUUUAGUAGAUAUAGAAUAAUAUUUAAUUAAUAUAUUGUUAAUACAGACUAAUCUUUAAUUUUUUCAUAGUAUAGGCGAUAGGUCAUUUAGAUUAAAUAAUUCUAGAUCUAGUAACUAGUUAUAGUCAUAGACCUAUAGUAUAGACUUAUAAUCUUAUAAUAUAGAUAUUUACUUUGUAGAGACUAAUGUACAAUAUUAGGCCUACACUCCAGAUCUUGAAAAUCUAGUCUAGAGUUUAGAAUGUUUAAAUUUAUACAAAUAAAUAAAAUCAAACGUUUAUAUUGGUUUUAAAAUCAGAUAUUGAGAUAUGUCUAGAAAAAUAUGUAUAUAUAUAGUAUAUCUAUAUUAGGGGCCUAUAUAUAAUAGACUAACGCCACUAACGGCUAACCCUAUAGCUGCUUUAGACUAUAGCCCUAUAUUGACAUUGUUUUUUGUUUUUUUUUAAAUGUUCCUUCAGAGUUGAAGAUAUCUACUUGGUAGUCUAAACCUCAAAGGAGCUUAGGGAAGUGAUGGCAGUUGCAGGGUAUGAACCAGACGACCAUGCAGAGACCAACGAGGCGACCAAACAGUCCAUCGUGCAUACCACAUAACCAGGUCCAGAAUGCCAGUUUUCUUUAAGGGCAGCUGACAAUAAGAAUUGUCUAUGUAUGCACUACAGAUGCUGUUCAAUAUCUUUUCAUGAGGAAGCCUGCUCUAAAAGAUUGCCACAUUUUCUUUAGGGGAAGUUGACAUUAAUCUUUUAGGUUAAUAAUAACCUAUGCAUGCAGUACAGAUGCUGUUCAUCAUCUUUUCAUAAGCAAGCCUGCUCAAGAAGGUAAGAAUUAAAUUUUGCUUUUAGAUUACUGAUCAGCAAUCUGAAAGUAAAUUGUUAAUGGGAUGGAAUUUAUUAAAUCUGCUGCAUGGAAGUCAAAAUAUGAAUUAUUGCCACCAGCCUUGAAGUCAGCUUGUAAAGAAUGCUAAGAAUUGAAUGAAAAUGCUGUCUUGAUAUCUUGUUUGUGCUGUUAUAUUUGUCUUUUGUGUUGGUUAAUUAUUCCAUGAAUAAAAAAUAAAAAAAAGUUAA
Molecule: long non-coding RNA, 1595 nt
Organism: Biomphalaria glabrata
Lineage: Eukaryota; Metazoa; Mollusca; Gastropoda; Planorbidae
Exons: 4
Source: RefSeq, a predicted model, not a curated record